GCUGAUCCUCUUCGGAGGUGACGCUUGUGGAACGAGCGGCGGACGGGUGAGUAACACGUGGGCAACCUGCCUGUAAGACUGGGAUAACCCCGGGAAACCGGGGCUAAUACCGGAUAAUACUUUUCAUCACCUGAUGGAAAGUUGAAAGGUGGCUUUUAGCUACCACUUACAGAUGGGCCCGCGGCGCAUUAGCUAGUUGGUGAGGUAACGGCUCACCAAGGCAACGAUGCGUAGCCGACCUGAGAGGGUGAUCGGCCACACUGGGACUGAGACACGGCCCAGACUCCUACGGGAGGCAGCAGUAGGGAAUCUUCCGCAAUGGACGAAAGUCUGACGGAGCAACGCCGCGUGAGUGAUGAAGGUUUUCGGAUCGUAAAGCUCUGUUGUUAGGGAAGAACAAGUGCCGUUCGAAUAGGGCGGCACCUUGACGGUACCUAACCAGAAAGCCCCGGCUAACUACGUGCCAGCAGCCGCGGUAAUACGUAGGGGGCAAGCGUUGUCCGGAAUUAUUGGGCGUAAAGCGCGCGCAGGCGGUCCUUUAAGUCUGAUGUGAAAGCCCACGGCUCAACCGUGGAGGGUCAUUGGAAACUGGAGGACUUGAGUACAGAAGAGGAGAGUGGAAUUCCACGUGUAGCGGUGAAAUGCGUAGAGAUGUGGAGGAACAC
RNAcentral lists this ribosomal RNA (665 nucleotides) under Virgibacillus halodenitrificans. RNAcentral's name for it is "bacterial SSU rRNA". It matches the Rfam family "Bacterial small subunit ribosomal RNA", at positions 66 to 709 of the family's 1533-position model. Lineage: Bacteria; Bacillati; Bacillota; Bacilli; Caryophanales; Bacillaceae. The record is from RNAcentral.